UGUUUCCGUAGUGUAGUGGUUUAUCACGUUCGCUUCACACGCGAAAGGUCCCCGGUUCGAAACCGGCCGAAACAG
Dromiciops gliroides (monito del monte) is the source of this 75-nucleotide non-coding RNA. Lineage: Eukaryota; Metazoa; Chordata; Mammalia; Microbiotheria; Microbiotheriidae. The record is from the annotation of a RefSeq genome assembly.